RNAcentral lists this ribosomal RNA (312 nucleotides) under Triticum aestivum (bread wheat). RNAcentral describes it as "partial small subunit ribosomal RNA". Lineage: Eukaryota; Viridiplantae; Streptophyta; Magnoliopsida; Poales; Poaceae. The record is from RNAcentral.
AUGAGUGAUAUUUGUACUUUCCCCGAUGCCUUCCAUCUGCUUGAAGAUCUAUGUGUGGAUCUUAAAGAUCUAUGUACGAAUUUUGACGAUCCGUGGCUAUCGUGCAUUCUUUUUCAUAUCAAGAUCAUUCGUAUGCUUUAUAUCCCCAUAGAAAUAUUUCUACAUGGUACCAUAGUUCAUUACUUUCUUAGAUCUGGAUUUGUUAUCAUAUUUCAAAAAAAAAAUCCUUAUCUGGUUUUUAUUGCCACUCUUGGUAAAAGUUCUCAAAGUUUUCAACUUGCUUUACUAUUUUUGUUAAACCAUUCUUCUUGA